UCUACUUAAUUAACAAAUGUCCUUUUUCCAAAACCAUAUUUGAAUGAAUAAAAACUAAGUUGUUUUUGUUAUUAAUUUUUUUUUCAUAAGAAUUUUUACGUUUGCGUUUAUGAUUUUUACUGUAUUAGACGAUAGACCUUUUUUUAUAUAUAGAUUGCGCGAUUUAUGAUACGCAAAUAGCAAAGCAAAUUUAAUAGAAGUUGAAAAACCAAAAUUUUAAAGAUGAAAGCAAAGUUGUCUUUGUUACAAAUCACUUUGGCAAUCUCUUAUAUUGAACCUCCAUCCUCCAUUUCUCUCUAAGUCUUUCUUGUGCUUCUUCUUCUUCUUCUUCUUCUUCUUCUUCUUUUCUCUCUCUCUCUCUCUCUCUCUCUCUCUCUCUCUCUCUCUCUCUCUCUCUCUCUCUCUCUCUCUCUCUCUCUCUCCUCUCUCUCUCUCUCUCUCUCUCUCUCUCUCUCUCUCUCCUAUGAAGACUAUGAUGGUAGCUCAAGAAGGCAUCCAAAGGGAUCGCAUUGAUCCCAAAUCUUAUAUGUCGUGUUUCUGUGUAUGUAUGUAGCGAAUUGGGAUCAUGUCAUCCUUUUGGAUUCCUCCUUUGGUUGCUUCAAGCUUUACAAACAUCAAAUAUCUGCUCCAAGUAUUUUUUUUGAAGAUGGAAAAGAACGUGAAGUUUAUCUUUCAGUUUCAUAAGCAAAACUAAACUAUUCGAUUGAAAGUUCAAGCAACUUGAAGAGUACUGAGAGAGGAGGGAAAAGAGAGUAUAUUGGUGGACAUUUCUCCAAGUACAAGUAAGUAUAUUUUCAUUUAUUUAACCUUUUAACUCUUGAUUUCACCUCAAGAGUUAUGUCACAAUGCCCUUAAAAUUUUUAUGUUGCUGAUACAAUCUUGUAAGUGUGUAAUAUUUGUAUGGGGUUUUUUAUUGUAUUUCAUUUCAAAAGAACCCCAUAUAAAAAUUAGUUUUUCUUCGUGUUAUUCUUAAGCGGGUUUACAUCAAGUUCAAAAUUUUAUGAAAGUUUUUUCUUGUGUGAACGUAAAUUUCCCACUGAGAAGGUUGUAAUGCUUAUUAUCAGUAUAAUCUUUUUGGUCAUGAUACAUCUCAUAAUACUUUUAGAAGUAUGUUAUGAUCGAUGAACAUAUAUAUACACACAUAAAUAUAUACAAUUAGUUUGUUUCCAUUUUUUAUUUUAUAUCAUCACAUAAUAAAUGAUUGAAAAACUAAAUUUGAAUAAUUCUAACGAUUAUUUUGCUUUCAUAUGUAAACACGAUCAUAACUAAAGUCUAAGUCUUUCUAUCAUGCAAAAGAAUAUGAACUUCAUAUACUAAUGAUUUUUCUUGAAACAAUGCUCCUUAAGAAACCGACGAAUAAAAACUCGUUAGAUAUCAUUUAAAACCAACGAAUAAAAUAACAAGACAACUAUCGAUGUCAAAUAGUUGUGGGGAAGGAUAUUUGUCGACAUUAACAUAAGAAAUUCAAACUCGUUUGCUUUGAUGGACGCAUGUUGCCAUGUGACUAGAGCUCGUUUGACAAGUCCAAAAACGAUGUAUGGAUAACGUUUGGAUCAAAUGCAUCGAUCGUGUGGUUGUAGCAUGUGUAUGGAAAGUCAAUCUUUAGGGAAUUCAAUGAAACAUCUUUAAUUAUCUAUGAAAUAAUAAAAAAUACACAAGUUCUAUCCUCCCAGUAUAGUUUAUCUGUAGUUUUAUAGGAAAAAAUAAAUUAAACGAGGUAUUGAUCCCUAAAAGGAAGUUGGUGAUAUUCUGAUUGUAUGAACAUGGGAGAAAAGGUAGGAUAGGCUACUCAAGACACAAUGGGCAUAUAGAAUGAGUGAAGCCCUUUAAGAAAGGGAGUCCAACGCCACAUGAGUUUUUAGACUUGAGGGACUUUAUUUGGAAUCCAAUGAAUUCUGGGCUUCUUUUCAGCAACUUUAAGUCUUUGAAACUAAUUUUAAAAAUAAAGGGAAUCUUGCACAUGGUGAUUAAAUAUAAACUUUUUUUAUUUAGGAACUUUUACUAAAAGUCAUGUGAUCAAGUUUACCAAAUCGUUAAGAACAGUUUUAAAUUACCAAUAAAAAAAUCGACUAAAGUUGCACAUUAAGAAAUAGUGGAACUUCAAAAUCUUUAAUUUACUGUAUUCUAAAAAGGCUUAAAUGUAAGAAAUCUUGCACAACAUGAGUAGCAGAGUAGGCAUGCAAGUUUUUAGCCUCUAAAUAGCAUGUAGCGGAUUAUACUAAUGACGCGUGACCCAUUUCACAAACAAGAAAAUUAUAGAGUUUAAAUAAUAAUUUUUACCAAAUUAUUAUUUAAUAUUUUUACGUUGAAUCUUAUUAAUGUUAGUAAUAAAGCAAACAUAUAAUUAAUAUAUUGGUUUUAUUAAACAUUAUAUUUUAAUUUUUAAGUCAUUGUAUACCAUUAUUUGAUAAUUUUAUGGGAAAACCUUAGAAAAACCCAACAUAUUUUCACCAAAUGCUUAAAAAAACUACUAUAUUGUUUUUUAGUACACUAAAACCCUUAUAUUUUCUAAAAUCCUUAUUUAAGGUUUUCUGAGUUUAGAAAAACCUACUCUAUUUUCAUGAAAGGAUUAAAAAAACCAUUAUAUUAUUUUUUUUUAGUGCAUUUAAACCCUCAAAUUUUUAAAUUUUUUUUAAUCUAAUGAAUUGUAACAAUAGAAACAUUAAGAAUCGAGUACCUAACAUUUUUGGCUAUCUAGGAUUUACCGAGCUCAAUGCCUUAAAUGAUACAUUUUAAAAAAUAUAAGGGUUUUAACGUACAAAAAAAUAAUAUAGUGGUUUUUUUAAGAUGUUGAUGAAAAUAUGUUAGGUUUUUUAUAAGAUUAUCCCUAAUUUUAUAUGUCGUUUAAAUUUAUAUAAAUUAUAUAUCAAACAUAUGAUGAUCUAUAUAUAACGAAUAACAAAAUGUAUAAAAAAAAUAAACACUACAACUUUUAGUAACAUAAAAACACUAAAACAUUUAUUAUAACAUUUAUAUUAAAAAAGAUAUAUAUACAACAAAUAACAAAAGAUAUGAAAAAUAAACAUUAUAAUUUUUAAUAACAUAAAAACAUUAAUUUAAUAGAUAUGGUUAAUGUCAUAAAAACCUUUAAGUUUGCACGAAAUUAUCGGAUUUACCCAAAGUUCAAAUUUGUGUUCGUUUUUGUCUCAAACUUGCAUUAAAUGUUGCGUUUUUACCUAUUAACUGGUUUCCCUUUAAUGAGUCGGUUACCAGUUGCUUAGUUGGAAGAUACGUGGCUCAUUAAAUCCCUUUAUGUAGACCGAUUCAAACAUAUCUCCAUUUGACCUCUUCCACCCCCACAGUUCGUCGUACAAAUUCUUCUUUCUACAAUGGUAAAAUGACAAUUUCCUCUGCAAGAUCAAGCUUCAAAGGUGGUUCAAGAAAGAGGAAGAAGAGGGUAAUCACAUGUGACUGUGGUGAUGUUUGUCAUAUAUCAGUCUCAUGAACCCCUGAGAACCCAGGACGAAAAUUUUGGGGUUGCCUUAAUUAUCAGGUGGAAGGAGGAAACUAUGAUUUUUUUUUCAAAUGGGUGGAUGGCGAACUAGAUCAAGAAAUGGAGAUGUCUCAUACAAAGCAGAUCAAGCCAUUGUUAGAAGUGAUCAUAGGGUUGUUAGUGCUUAUAUUGAUGAUGGUAGCAAUAGUGGUUAUCAAUAUGUAGUUUUGUUGGUUUUGCAAUCUGUUUAUGGUAAUGUAGGAAGGGUAGUGAAGACCUUUUUCAUGUAUUAGCAAUGUAUUAAGGGUAAUCAAGAAUUGUUACAUCUUUUUGAUGUAUUAAUGGUAAUUAAUUGUUAUUUCA
This is a long non-coding RNA of Lactuca sativa (garden lettuce), 3796 nucleotides long. RefSeq lists it as uncharacterized. The record is from RefSeq and is a predicted model, not a curated record. Lineage: Eukaryota; Viridiplantae; Streptophyta; Magnoliopsida; Asterales; Asteraceae.